GACGAACGCUGGCGGCGUGCUUAACACAUGCAAGCCGAACGGAAAGGCCCUGCUUUUGUGGGGUGCUCGAGUGGCGAACGGGUGAGUAACACGUGAGUAACCUGCCCUUUACUUUGGGAUAACUUCAGGAAACUGGGGCUAAUACCGGAUAGGAGCUCCUGCUGCAUGGUGGGGGUUGGAAAGUUUCGGCGGUUGGGGAUGGACUCGCGGCUUAUCAGCUUGUUGGUGGGGUAGUGGCUUACCAAGGCUUUGACGGGUAGCCGGCCUGAGAGGGUGACCGGCCACAUUGGGACUGAGAUACGGCCCAGACUCCUACGGGAGGCAGCAGUGGGGAAUAGUGCACAAUGGGCGGAAGCCUGAUGCAGCAACGCCGCGUGCGGGAUGACGGCCUUCGGGUUGUAACCCGCUUUCGCCUGUGACGAAGCGUGAGUGACGGUAAUGGGUAAAGAAGCACCGGCUAACUACGUG
RNAcentral lists this ribosomal RNA (468 nucleotides) under uncultured bacterium. RNAcentral's name for it is "partial 16S ribosomal RNA". It matches the Rfam family "Bacterial small subunit ribosomal RNA", at positions 28 to 507 of the family's 1533-position model. The record is from RNAcentral.